RNAcentral lists this long non-coding RNA (833 nucleotides) under Chinchilla lanigera (long-tailed chinchilla). Its description in RNAcentral is "lncRNA (ENSCLAG00000023499.1)". Lineage: Eukaryota; Metazoa; Chordata; Mammalia; Rodentia; Chinchillidae. The record is from RNAcentral.
UUGUAGGGAUUGAAUAUUUCUCUCUAUAAAUGGAACAUACUUCUAUUAUUUCCCAUUCUAGAACCUUCUCCACCUGUUCCAACUCAAGCAGUGGAAACCCAGCCUACAACACUUCAGGAAACAGAGACUCAGCUGUUCACCUCCCCGGAAUCAAGCCAAGAAGAUGGGAAUGGCACUGUGACACAGUCUUCAGGUGGCCCUCGGCAAAACGAUCAACCUGAGUUUCCAGCACAACACAAACGAGUCGACGCUAAAAGACUCUAUGUUGGAAUCCUUGUUUCUAGCUUGCUUUUGCUCAUUAGUUUGGUUGUCAUCAUUGUCAAAAAGAGAUUCAUCGGCAAAAGGAGGACACUGACACUAAGCAAGGUUUUGUGGAUGCGUCCUCGAAAUCAAGCUUUGGAACAGCAAAGCCCAGCAGAAGACGAAGUCUACAUCAUCAAGAAUAAUGUUUUCGUCCUUGAUUAAAACUCAGCGGUACUCUCUGUCCAUGACUGCAGAAGACACUGACCAGGCAACACCACGAUCAUCGUCUUCUCCAUCCCGGGACCAUUUUCUGUAUCAGUUUUAUCUGUCGUUCCAGCAGAUCAGUGCUGGUGGAUAGAGGAACUCUCAGGGUCAAAGCCAUUAUGUUGUCAAAUUUUGUUUUAAUAUUGUUCUGAUUUUUAUGUUGAGACUGUUCCAGUCUUUCCAGGCACUGCAGAGCUCUCUGUCAAACAUGCGUAUGUCAGAGUUCUGUCUUUUCUUUAGACUCUAUAAUCCCAUUCAUCAAAGAAAGUAAUCAGGGCUCAUGCAGGAAAUGAACCCACUGUAACUGUCAAGAGCAAUAGGACCUA